GUGGCGGACGGGUGAGGAACACGUGGAUAACCUACCCGGGAGUGGGGAAUAACUACUCGAAAGGGUAGCUAAUACCGCAUACGUUCCCCUUAGUGACGUCUAGGGGGAAGAAAGCAGUGAUGCGCUCCCGGCCCGGGUCUGCGGCCGAUUAGCUUGUAGGUAAGGUAACGGCCCACCAAGGCGAUGAUCGGUAGCCGGCCUGAGAGGGUGUCCGGCCACACUGGGACUGAGACACUGCCCAGACUCCUACGGGAGGCUGCAGUCGCGAAUCAUUCACAAUGGGCGCAAGCCUGAUGAUGCCACGCCGCGUGCGGGAUGAAGGCCCUCUGGGUUGUAAACCGCUGUCAAGGGAGGGGAACCGUACGGUGUGAACAGCACCGUGCCUGACUGCUCUCUAAAGGAAGCCCCGGCAAAACAUGUGCCAGCAGCCGCGGUAAUACAUGUGGGGCAAGCGUUGUUCGGAAUUACUGGGCAUAAAGGGUGCGUAGGCGGUUUGUUAAGACAGAUGUGAAAUCCCCGGGCUCAACCUGGGAAUUGCAUUUGUGACUGCCCGACUAGAGUGUGUCAGAGGGGGGUAGAAUUCCACGUGUAGCAGUGAAAUGCGUAGAGAUGUGGAGGAAUACCGAUGGCGAAGGCAGCCCCCUGGGAUAACACUGACGCUCAUGCACGAAAGCGUGGGGAGCAAACAGGAUUAGAUACCCUGGUAGUCCACGCCCUAAACGAUGUCUACUAGUUGUUGGGUCUUAAUUGACUUAGUAACGCAGCUAACGCGUGAAGUAGACCGCCUGGGGAGUACGGUCGCAAGAUUAAA
This 811-nucleotide ribosomal RNA is filed under the name uncultured bacterium. RNAcentral describes it as "bacterial SSU rRNA". It matches the Rfam family "Bacterial small subunit ribosomal RNA", at positions 95 to 898 of the family's 1533-position model. The record is from RNAcentral.